GACGAACGCUGGCGGCGUGCCUAAUACAUGCAAGUAGAACGCUGAAUGAGGAGCUUGCUUCUCUGGAUAAGUUGCGAAAGGGUGAGUAACGCGUAGGUAACCUGCCUGGUAGCGGGGGAUUACUAUUGGAAACGAUAGCUAAUACCGCAUAAGAGUAGAUGUUGCAUGACAUUUGCUUAAAAAGUGCAAUUGCAUCACUACCAGAUGGACCUGCGUUGUAUUAGCUAGUUGGUUGGGUAACGGCUUACCAAUGCGACGAUACAUAGCCGACCUGAGAGGGGGAUCGGCCACACUGGGACUGGGACACGGCCCAGACUCCUACGGGAGGCAGCAGUAGGGAAUCUUCGGCAAUGGACGGAAGUCUGACCGAGCAACGCCGCGUGAGUGAAGAAGGUUUUCGGAUCGUAAAGCUCUGUUGUAAGAGAAGAACGAGUGUGAGAGUGGAAAGUUCACACUGUGACGGUAUCUUACCAGAAAGGGACGGCUAACUACGUG
Molecule: ribosomal RNA, 495 nt
Filed under: uncultured bacterium
Lineage: Bacteria
Description: partial 16S ribosomal RNA
Rfam family: Bacterial small subunit ribosomal RNA
Source: RNAcentral